Molecule: non-coding RNA, 64 nt
Organism: Potamilus streckersoni
Lineage: Eukaryota; Metazoa; Mollusca; Bivalvia; Unionida; Unionidae
Source: the annotation of a GenBank genome assembly
UUGCCCUAGUGGUUAGAGAAUCCGCUUCAGAUGCGGGAGGUCGUUGGUUCGAAUCCCGACCGAG